GACGAACGCUGGCGGCGUGCUUAACACAUGCAAGUCGAACGGAAAGGCCCUGCUUUUGUGGGGUGCUCGAGUGGCGAACGGGUGAGUAACACGUGAGUAACCUGCCCUUGACUGUGGGAUAACUUCAGGAAACUGGGGCUAAUACCGGAUAUGAGCUCCUGCUGCAUGGUGGGGGUUGGAAAGUUUCGGCGGUUGGGGAUGGACUCGCGGCUUAUGAGCUUGUUGGUGGGGUAGUGGCUUACCAAGGCUUUGACGGGUAGCCGGCAUGGGAGCGUGGCCGGCCACAUUGGGCCUGCGAUACGCCCCAGACGCCUACGGGAGGCAGCAGUGGGGAAUCUUGCACAAUGGGCGGAAGCCUGAUGCAGCAACCCCGCGUGCGGGAUGACGUCCUUCGGGUUGUAAACCGCUUUCGCAUGUGACGAAGCGUGAGUGAUGGUAAUGAGUCAAGAAGCACCGGCUAACUACGUG
This 468-nucleotide ribosomal RNA is filed under the name uncultured bacterium. RNAcentral's name for it is "partial 16S ribosomal RNA". It matches the Rfam family "Bacterial small subunit ribosomal RNA", at positions 28 to 507 of the family's 1533-position model. The record is from RNAcentral.